RNAcentral lists this ribosomal RNA (468 nucleotides) under uncultured bacterium. Its description in RNAcentral is "partial 16S ribosomal RNA". It matches the Rfam family "Bacterial small subunit ribosomal RNA", at positions 28 to 523 of the family's 1533-position model. The record is from RNAcentral.
GAUGAACGCUGGCGGCGUGCCUAACACAUGCAAGUCGAGCGAUCUUCUUCGGAAGAGAGCGGCGGACGGGUGAGUAACGCGUGGGUAACCUGCCCUGUACACACGGAUAACAUACCGAAAGGUAUGCUAAUACGAGAUACUAUGCUUUUAUCGCAUGGUAGAAGUAUCAAAGCUCCGGCGGUACAGGAUGGACCCGCGUCUGAUUAGCUAGUUGGUAGGGUAAGGGCUUACCAAGGCGACGAUCAGUGGCCGACCUGAGAGGGUGAUCGGCCAAAUUGGAACUGGGACACGGUCCAAACUCCUACGGGAGGCAGCAGUGGGGAAUAUUGCACGGUGGGCGAAAGCCUGAUGCAGCAACGCCGCGUGAGCGAUGAAGGCCUUCGGGUCGUAAAGCUCUGUCCUCAAGGAAGAUAAUGACGGUACUUGAGGAGGAAGCCCCGGCUAACUACGUGCCAGCCGCCGCCGUAA